AAAGUUAUCAAUUUAAAACUUACCAAUGAAAGUCGUAUUUCCCCCUUUCUUUACCCUACAAUAAACUUUCCUCGGAUCCGUGGAUUGCGGAAUAUCGUCCACAUCUAAAACGUUCACGUAAAUUAAUGACGUCAUGUGUUAAAACAGUUAUUGGCCAAUCAAAUCGGUAUAUAGAAUUUAAUCUGCACGCGCUCAGGAUGACCCUUUAACCCGAACUCCUACGUCGUUCGGGUUAAUAAGGGUCACCUGAGCUGUGCAGAUUAAAUU
RNAcentral lists this long non-coding RNA (267 nucleotides) under Mytilus galloprovincialis (Mediterranean mussel). Lineage: Eukaryota; Metazoa; Mollusca; Bivalvia; Mytilida; Mytilidae. The record is from RNAcentral.